Molecule: ribosomal RNA, 492 nt
Filed under: uncultured bacterium
Lineage: Bacteria
Description: partial 16S ribosomal RNA
Rfam family: Bacterial small subunit ribosomal RNA
Source: RNAcentral
AGUGAACGCUGGCGGUAGGCCUAACACAUGCAAGUCGAACGGCAGCACAGUAAGAGCUUGCUCUUACGGGUGGCGAGUGGCGGACGGGUGAGGAAUACAUCGGAAUCUACUUUUUCGUGGGGGAUAACGUAGGGAAACUUACGCUAAUACCGCAUACGACCUACGGGUGAAAGCAGGGGAUCUUCGGACCUUGCGCGAUUGAAUGAGCCGAUGUCGGAUUAGCUAGUUGGCGGGGUAAAGGCCCACCAAGGCGACGAUCCGUAGCUGGUCUGAGAGGAUGAUCAGCCACACUGGAACUGAGACACGGUCCAGACUCCUACGGGAGGCAGCAGUGGGGAAUAUUGGACAAUGGGCGCAAGCCUGAUCCAGCCAUACCGCGUGGGUGAAGAAGGCCUUCGGGUUGUAAAGCCCUCUUGUUGGGAAAGAAAAGCAGCAGGUUAAUACCCCGCUGUGCUGACGGUACCCAAAGAAUAAGCACCGGCUAACUUCGUG